UGGGGAAUAUUGGACAAUGGGCGCAAGCCUGAUCCAGCCAUGCCGCGUGAGUGAUGAAGGCCCUAGGGUUGUAAAGCUCUUUCACCGGUGAAGAUAAUGACGGUAACCGGAGAAGAAGCCCCGGCUAACUUCGUGCCAGCAGCCGCGGUAAUACGAAGGGGGCUAGCGUUGUUCGGAAUUACUGGGCGUAAAGCGCACGUAGGCGGGUAUUUAAGUCAGGGGUGAAAUCCCGGAGCUCAACUCCGGAACUGCCUUUGAUACUGGGUACCUAGAGUAUGGAAGAGGUGAGUGGAAUUCCGAGUGUAGAGGUGAAAUUCGUAGAUAUUCGGAGGAACACCAGUGGCGAAGGCAGCCCCCUGGGUCAAGAUUGACGCUCAUGCACGAAAGCGUGGGGAGCAAACA
Molecule: ribosomal RNA, 402 nt
Filed under: uncultured bacterium
Lineage: Bacteria
Description: bacterial SSU rRNA
Rfam family: Bacterial small subunit ribosomal RNA
Source: RNAcentral